UGGGACAAGCCCUGGAAACGGGGUCUAAUACCGGAUAAUACUUCCACUCGCAUGGGUGGGGGUUGAAAGCUCCGGCGGUGAAGGAUGAGCCCGCGGCCUAUCAGCUUGUUGGUGAGGUAGUGGCUCACCAAGGCGACGACGGGUAGCCGGCCUGAGAGGGCGACCGGCCACACUGGGACUGAGACACGGCCCAGACUCCUACGGGAGGCAGCAGUGGGGAAUAUUGCACAAUGGGCGAAAGCCUGAUGCAGCGACGCCGCGUGAGGGAUGACGGCCUUCGGGUUGUAAACCUCUUUCAGCAGGGAAGAAGCGAAAGUGACGGUACCUGCAGAAGAAGCGCCGGCUAACUACGUGCCAGCAGCCGCGGUAAUACGUAGGGCGCAAGCGUUGUCCGGAAUUAUUGGGCGUAAAGAGCUCGUAGGCGGUCUGUCGCGUCGGAUGUGAAAGCCCGGGGCUUAACCCCGGGUCUGCAUUCGAUACGGGCAGACUAGAGUGUGGUAGGGGAGAUCGGAAUUCCUGGUGUAGCGGUGAAAUGCGCAGAUAUCAGGAGGAACACCGGUGGCGAAGGCGGAUCUCUGGGCCAUUACUGACGCUGAGGAGCGAAAGCGUGGGGAGCGAACAGGAUUAGAUACCCUGGUAGUCCACGCCGUAAACGGUGGGAACUAGGUGUUGGCGACAUUCCACGUCGUCGGUGCCGCAGCUAACGCAUUAAGUUCCCCGCC
RNAcentral lists this ribosomal RNA (722 nucleotides) under Actinomycetes bacterium. RNAcentral describes it as "bacterial SSU rRNA". It matches the Rfam family "Bacterial small subunit ribosomal RNA", at positions 139 to 873 of the family's 1533-position model. Lineage: Bacteria; Bacillati; Actinomycetota; Actinomycetes. The record is from RNAcentral.